GACGAACGCUGGCGGCGUGCCUAAUACAUGCAAGUUGAGCGCUGAAGGUUGGUACUUGUACCGACUGGAUGAGCAGCGAACGGGUGAGUAACGCGUGGGGAAUCUGCCUUUGAGCGGGGGACAACAUUUGGAAACGAAUGCUAAUACCGCAUAAAAACUUUAAACACAAGUUUUAAGUUUGAAAGAUGCAAUUGCAUCACUCAAAGAUGAUCCCGCGUUGUAUUAGCUAGUUGGUGAGGUAGAGGCUCACCAAGGCGAUGAUACAUAGCCGACCUGAGAGGGUGAUCGGCCACAUUGGGACUGAGACACGGCCCAAACUCCUACGGGAGGCAGCAGUAGGGAAUCUUCGGCAAUGGACGAAAGUCUGACCGAGCAACGCCGCGUGAGUGAAGAAGGUUUUCGGAUCGUAAAACUCUGUUGGUAGAGAAGAACGUUGGUGAGAGUGGAAAGCUCAUCAAGUGACGGUAACUACCCAGAAAGGGACGGCUAACUACGUG
This 497-nucleotide ribosomal RNA is filed under the name uncultured bacterium. Its description in RNAcentral is "partial 16S ribosomal RNA". It matches the Rfam family "Bacterial small subunit ribosomal RNA", at positions 28 to 507 of the family's 1533-position model. The record is from RNAcentral.